This 539-nucleotide ribosomal RNA is filed under the name Geobacillus sp. enrichment culture clone R_8m3_OTU1. RNAcentral's name for it is "bacterial SSU rRNA". It matches the Rfam family "Bacterial small subunit ribosomal RNA", at positions 8 to 526 of the family's 1533-position model. Lineage: Bacteria; Bacillati; Bacillota; Bacilli; Caryophanales; Anoxybacillaceae. The record is from RNAcentral.
AGAGUUUGAUCMUGGCUCAGGACGAACGCUGGCGGCGUGCCUAAUACAUGCAAGUCGAGCGGACCGAAUGAGAGCUUGCUCUURUUUGGUCAGCGGCGGACGGGUGAGUAACACGUGGGCAACCUGCCCGCAAGACCGGGAUAACUCCGGGAAACCGGAGCUAAUACCGGAUAACACCGAAGACCGCAUGGUCUUCGGUUGAAAGGCGGCCUUUGGCUGUCACUUGCGGAUGGGCCCGCGGCGCAUUAGCUAGUUGGUGAGGUAACGGCUCACCAAGGCGACGAUGCGUAGCCGGCCUGAGAGGGUGACCGGCCACACUGGGACUGAGACACGGCCCAGACUCCUACGGGAGGCAGCAGUAGGGAAUCUUCCGCAAUGGACGAAAGUCUGACGGAGCGACGCCGCGUGAGCGAAGAAGGCCUUCGGGUCGUAAAGCUCUGUUGUGAGGGACGAAGGAGCGCCGUUUGAACAAGGCGGCGCGGUGACGGUACCUCACGAGAAAGCCCCGGCUAACUACGUGCCAGCCGCCGCGGUAAUWC